Pangasius djambal is the source of this 72-nucleotide non-coding RNA. The record is from the annotation of a GenBank genome assembly. NCBI's taxonomy places the organism in Eukaryota, Metazoa, Chordata, Actinopteri, Siluriformes, Pangasiidae.
UCCCUGGAGGACUAGUGGUUAGGCCACAGCGCUCUCAAAGCUGCGGCCCAGGUUUGAUUCCCAGCCAUGAAA